This is a non-coding RNA of Caretta caretta (loggerhead turtle), 5706 nucleotides long. The record is from RefSeq and is a predicted model, not a curated record. NCBI's taxonomy places the organism in Eukaryota, Metazoa, Chordata, Testudines, Cheloniidae.
CGCGGGGUGCGGCCGGUGUGAGCGAGCUGCCCCCGGGCUUGUGCAGCGCCGGCAGCCGGGGAGCGGGCCGCGGGCCGGGCCCCAGCCCCAGCCCGGGAAGGGUGCCCCGGCGGGUGGCUGCCUGCCUCCCUCGCGGUGUCUGGGCAGCGUGUCUCGGAGCAGGGCGAGAUCACGCUGGCCCGAGCCGAGCGAGGCUUGUUGCGGGCGUGCGGUGGGGUCCGUGGUCUCAGGUGACCCUUGGGUGGGUCUGGCGUACGGCAGCCGCAGCGGCGGGCACUUGCUCCGUGUGGUUGGCCGGACAUAACUGAAUCCGGCCCGUUAUUUUCCGGUCUGUACCGGACCCCGUGGCUCGCCUUUGGAGGGGUGGGUUCGGUUCAGCUGUUGGCACUGGCGGUGCUUGCUGUGUAAUGGGCGAGGUGCCAGGGCCCAAGGCAAUUAGGUGCCAGGGCUUAAGCAACUCCUUUCCAUUCAUAACUGGUACAACAAGCCUAGCGGUGGCGGGGCUAUGAACUGCCAAGCCUAGAGGUGCCGGGGGCUCACACCUGGCAAACCUUGGGACAAAUGGAGCACUGGAUGUAGGGUCUGAUCCUGAGACGUGGUGGGCAUGCGCAGUUUCCUGUGAUUUUUUUCGGAGGAAUGUUGGGUAGUUCAGCACCUCUCAUAAAAAGGCCCAGUUUAUGUUGGUGUCUUCUCAGUUUUCCCAGCUCUUGUUUGCCUGGUAUCCAAUGCUGUUUCCACUGAUUUCAGUGGAUUGGAUCCUCAGUGACCAGACCUGCUUAUCAAACCCAGGUCUCUUGCAUUGUAAAGCCGAAUGAACAUAGGGCUAGCCCAAAUAAGAGUCUGCUUUACUAGAGACAAAUAACCAUUAAUUCUGGUAUUCUUAAAUCCUUCUCGUUAAUGUUUAUUUCAAGUGCAUCUAAUAUUUUUGUGAAUAUUUGACAUUUCAGAUACAAUAAUAGUCUCUAUGGCUGCAAUUUACUCAGGAAUUCACCUGAAGCUGAAAAGUGCAAAAACCUCUUGGGAAGACAAAAUCAAAUUAGCUCACUUUGCAUGGAUUUCCCAUCAGUGCUUUCUUCCAAAUAAAGAACAAGUAUUACUUGAUUGGGUGAGCCAUGCAUUGGUUUCAUAUUACAACAAGAAACUUGAACUGGAGGAUGAAAUUGUUGAGAAACUUUGGACGUACCUGGAUAACAUCCUCCAUAGCAGAAAACUACAGAAUCUCUUAAAGGAUGGAAAGACAAUCAACCUCAGUUUUUUGAUUGCACAGGUCAUAAAUGAAAGGAUAUCCGAGUCCUGCAUUCAAAAAUCCCGCGGAAAUGGUGGUACAGUGCUAAGUUGUUGCAGGGGCAUCCUUUCCACUCCGCCUCUCUCCAUCAUCUAUACCACAAAAUAUGAGCUGAUGGUAAAUCUCCUAAGCAAGCUCUCCUGGCUGGCCUGUCAAUGGCUGACCUCAGAAGAUGCUGUGACCUCCCAGUUGUUUGAUGUCCUCCAGCUGACCUUUGCUCAGUACCUCCUGAUUCAGAGGCAACAGAUCAACCCAAAUCGUGUGUUUGGGCAAGUGACCAGCCACUUGUUUCAACCAUGUCUGCUCCUGAGGCAUUUGCUUAUGGCCAGAGCGUGGACACCAGCUGAUGAUGGCCGCGUACGUCAGCAUCUGAGCAGGGAAAUCCGAAACCAAGUAGAGGCUGUGCUACAGGCUGGGAUUUUCCAGCCUGAGCUCUUGUCCUCUUACAGAGGGGAGCUCCUGCCAGAAAGGGAACCGCAAGAGAAAAAGAAAAGGGCUCUUAAAACUAUUCUGAUGCCAGUCAAAACAGUGCUGUCCAAGUUCCAGGAUGCUAGCUUUUGUGAAUCAACGCUCCAGGUGAUCAUAGUAGCAAAUUCAGUACCUCUGCUUUAUAAGCUCUUUUUGGAUUCUUACUGUAAGGCAGAAAACCACAUGGUCUGUUUCCACAUGUUCACCAGGCUUUUUGGCUGUCUAAGGAUUUCUCACCUGCAGGAGGAUCUAUGGCAGGAGAUGCUCUCGCCAGUAGACUGGAGCACAGAACUGCUUGCUGUGGAACAGCUCCUGAACUUGGUGCUCAGCAACGAUAUCUAUAACGUUGCCGCUGACCGGAUCAGGCACAAAGAGACCCAGUUCCAGUUUUACCGCAAACUGGCAGAAAUGUUGGUGAAUCGCUCCCAGGCUUCCAUCCCAGCUUGGUUUAGGUGUCUCAAGACCUUGAUUUCGUUAAAUCAUUUAAUUGUCGAGCCUGAUCUGGAUGACCUUGUGGCCUCAGCUUGGAUCGAUGCAGAGGUCUCUGAGCCACGUACAAAGAAGCCUCAAGAGACUCUCAUAAAUGCCAUGUUUCAGACUUACACGAAGCUGCGACAGUUCCCUAAAUUCUUUGAAGAGGUUCUGUCCGUGAUCUGCCGUCCAGCUGAUGAUGAGUUAAGGCUGCCAGUCUUGUCUGCUGGGCUGACGGCAAAGCUUCGUGAGUGCCUCCUCGAGCUGCCACCCAACCAGAUUCUGGAUAUUUUGUUCCUCAUACUGGAGAAGUGUCAGACUCAAAUAAUUCCUGACGUUAAAGAUGAUUCUGACAUGGCACUGAAGCUGUUGUCUGUGAGCUCUGUGCUUCACACUUUUCUGUUCAACAUGAAGAGUUUGGAUAAUGUCACCCCAUUACCUGUUGUCCUUCGCACUCAGAGUCUGUUGGACAAGAUGCAGAAAGAGGUAAUCCAGCCAUUGCUAGACCUAUUGAAGGAUCAGUGGGCAGACGAAGAUAAACCAGGGCUUUGGCUAGAGAAGGUCAGUGAUUCCGCGCUCCUCCUUGUCUGCACAUGGGUGGAGGUUGACACUCUGCUUAGUAUAAACUGCAGCAAAUAUGUGUCUCGACUGGCUGAAGCAGCUGGUGGUGGUACUGACUGUGCUGCAGAGAGCUGGGACUUCUCAGCCCUUCUCCCUGGCGUGGAUAGCCAGUGUUGGAAGAGGGUAGUGAGAUUCUCAAGUAAUUUCUGCUCACCUAGUAAAUAUUGCUUAGAACUGCUCAUGCUUCAGAAAAUAAAAAAGAUCUUAAUGCAAACCAGUUUUCAGACUGAGGCUGAUCUUCACACCUUGCAGCAUGCCGCAGCUUUCAUCCUUCAUUCUGGAAGAUCAAGCAUGAGCAUGGAAGAGUCCGAACCUUGGAAUGGCAACAUCAGUGCAAUAAAUGCUCUCACCUACCCCGCUGCACACUGGUACCUUGUAGUCUCAAAUCUAACAAUCCUGAUUCCUCAUCUUUCUCUGAAAGAUGUAGAGUAUGUUGCUGAUGUGCUUCUGAAGACUUUACCAUCAACUAAAGCUCCGGGAGUUUCUGCAGAUCAGGAUUCCUUCAUCACAGCUGAAAAGGUUUCUAAAGCCUUGCUGCAUAGUACUUUUCUUCCAGAAAUUAAGGUGCUUCACUGUGCUUUUAUAAGCCGCAUUAUUCAGCAGUGCUCUAGUGUGUUUUGUUCUGCUACUCAGGGCAUCGUGGAUCAGCCUAUUCAACAGCUGUCUGCAGUUAAUAUACCAUGGCAUGAGGAAGUCCUCUCAUCUUGCAAGAUGGUUGGCAUGGGGGAGGCACAGUCAGAAAACAAUCAAUCAAAGGCUGAACCCUUCAUUUGCUGGACAACAAUGGAAAAAAUUGCUCAACAUAUAUUGUUGUUAACAAGGACCGGUUCCCCCAUUACUUUGGAAGAAGACCAGAUAGAAAGCUUUCUGCAUUUACUAGAGAUGAUUUCUGCAUUGAAACUUGACAGUCUUUUUCCUUCAGACCAUACCCGUUGUUUUCUCUUGCUGCUGUCCUUGGUAGCCAAUACCAGAGCUAACAUCUCUUGCAGUAAGUUGCUAUCAUUGAAGUUUCUAAUUACCUGCUUCCGCCUCCUAACAUGCCUACAGACUGGCAGAAGUGUCAACUCUAUCUUUAAAGUUUUUCAUGCCAGUGAUGCUCUUGAGGCUGUCAUGACCGCCCUGUUUGCAGCCAGCAAGUGCUUUGCUGAUGUUUUGACCACUCCCGCCUGGGCAGAAUUUCUCCAGGUGAUCCAAACCUUUUUGGAAUGCUUUUUUCAGAUGAUUGUCGAAAAGAGGCAGAGCCUGAAACUCAAUUUGGAAAAGUUCUCUUUUUUCCUAGCGAGCUGCAAACCAUAUGUUGAUGCAGACAGAGGCAAGCCCUGGAACACUGCAGUCAAUCAGCUGCUCUUAGUGCCGCUAACCACACUCUGCCAUGUUCUGACUCUGUACCUCCAGCAGCAGCCAGAGAAGAAACAACAACUGACAGAAAUGCUGUCUGCUUUGUUGGAGCCAACAGUCCUCCAGACAGGAACAGCCAUCCAGCUCUGCCUUAGAAACCUCACCAAAGACCAGCCUUUGCCUUUGGCAUUCAUCCCAGCUGUCUCAACUCUACUGAAAGCAGAUCUGAGCUACAUGUGCACUGGUCGCUUUAUGAAAAUGGAAGGCAAGCAGGAGAAUCCUAAAGACCCAGGAAAAUAUCGGGAGUAUUCCCACACUGAACUGUACCAAAAGUUUUACACUCAAGUACUGAGAGAGCUGACCUCUGUGGAAGGCCAUCUCCAGUUCUUUCACUCUGCCUUGCAGUUUUUAACUGUUUUCUGCUCAGUAACAGAUCUGUAUCCUGGAGAAGAGACUGCUCUCACUGUGUUCCAUGCUGUAAAAAAACUCCUUGCUGGUCCUGGCACCACAGUCCAGGUGAUUCAAGAUCUAGAAAUGCAGCUGACAGAGUUGAUGACUCAGCUGGUGGAGAGCUGCACGACUGAGGAGUUCUGUGUCAUGAUGAGGCUGGUGCUCCAAGGACUUGAAGUUAGCAAUAUUUGGAAACAAAAUCCUAAAGAAGUAUUGUCAGCUGUUACGCUAACCAAAUUGCUGGUCAACUGCCCGUUAACUGGAGAGAAAGAGAAAGCUUUCUGGUUUACCAGCCCACAGAUAAUCACAGCUUUAGUUAUUCAAACCAAAGAGGCUUGUCGGGAUCAAUCGCUGAUUCCCACCAUUGUUGUUCCUAUACUGGAGACAGUAGCAGCCCUGCUGAGGCAAGGAGAAGAGAUUCUCUCCAAUCCCCAUCACGUGAGCCUGGCAUUCAGCAUUCUGCUGACUGUCCCUCUGGAUCAUUUGAAGAUGGAGGAGUAUGGGAGCAUCUUCCUGGGAAUUCAUGAAGUGCUGUUUUCCAUACUGCAGUGUCACCCUAAGGUGAUGCUAAAAGCAGCGCCAUCUUUCCUGAACAGCUUCAAUAGGCUGGUUGUUUCUGUUAUGCACGAGGGGCGACAGAAAGGAGACAGAGGGAGCACAGAUGAGUUUGGAGUUGUAUUGAAAUGUGCACACUUGGUGGAAAGGAUGUAUAGUCACAUUGCUGCAAAAACAGAGGAGUUCACAGUGUUUUCUGUCUUUAUAGUGGCCCAAUACGUGAUUGAACUGCAGAAGGACACACAGCUGCUCCAUAUCCUGCCUACUUACCCUAAUUAUUGAUGUCCUGGUUAUUGAAUUUGCCCCAGCUAAGGCUCUAGAGAGUACUCGUGCUAAGGGCUGUCUCACAGCAAACUCUUUCCAAGGACUGCAUUGUGUACGAGCCUCUCUGGGCCUGAUCCAUUGAUAUUCAGGUGACCUUACUUCCAGCUGUAAAGAAACAUCUAACUGAGGGAAUGUAUCACAUCCUAGACCUUUGCAUUGAACGCGACAUCAAGUUCUUAAACGCAUCGCUACAG